GAUGAAAGAACGUAGCGAAAUGCGAUACGUAAUGUGAAUUGCAAAUUCAGUGAAUCAUCGAGUCUUUGAACGCACAUUGCGCCCCCUGGUAUUCCGGGGGGCAUGCCUGUCCGAGCGUCAUUGCUGCCCUCAAGCACGGCUUGUGUGUUGGGCCCCGUCCUCCGAUCCCGGGGGACGGGCCCGAAAGGCAGCGGCGGCACCGCGUCCGGUCCUCGAGCGUAUGGGGCUUUGUCACCCGCUCUGUAGGCCCGGCCGGCGCUUGCCGAUCAACCCAAAUUUUUAUCCAGGUUGACCUCGGAUCAGGUAGGGAUACCCGCUGAACUUAAGCAUAUCAAUAAGCGGAGGA
This 346-nucleotide unclassified non-coding RNA is filed under the name soil metagenome. Its description in RNAcentral is "partial contains 5.8S ribosomal RNA, internal transcribed spacer 2, and large subunit ribosomal RNA". The stretch from base 6 to 120 matches the Rfam family "5.8S ribosomal RNA", at positions 39 to 154 of the family's 154-position model. The record is from RNAcentral.